UACGUAGGUGACAAGCGUUGUCCGGAUUUACUGGGCGUAAAGAGCGCGCAGGCGGUCGUUCAAGUCGAGUGUGAAAGCCCCCGGCUCAACUGGGGAGGGUCACUCGAUACUGAUCGACUCGAAGGCAGGAGAGGGAAGUGGAAUUCCCGGUGUAGUGGCGAAAUGCGUAGAUAUCGGGAGGAACACCAGUGGCGAAGGCGACUUCCUGGCCUGUUCUUGACGCUGAGGCGCGAAAGCUAGGGGAGCAAACGGG
Molecule: ribosomal RNA, 253 nt
Filed under: uncultured bacterium
Lineage: Bacteria
Description: partial 16S ribosomal RNA
Rfam family: Bacterial small subunit ribosomal RNA
Source: RNAcentral